AACGAACGCUGGCGGUAUGCUUUACACAUGCAAGUCGAACGAGAACGUGCCUUCGGGCAUUAUUAAAGUGGCAGACGGGUGAGUAACGCGUGGGAAUCUACCUAGUAGUAUGGAAUAGCCAUUGGAAACGAUGAUUAAUACCAUAUACGCCCUUCGGGGGAAAGCUUUAGUGCUAUUAGAUGAGCCCGCGUUAGAUUAGUUUGUUGGUAGGGUAACGGCCUACCAAGGCUAUGAUCUAUAGCUGGUUUGAGAGGAUGAUCAGCCACACUGGGACUGAGACACGGCCCAGACUCCUACGGGAGGCAGCAGUGGGGAAUAUUGGACAAUGGGCGAAAGCCUGAUCCAGCAAUACCGCGUGAGUGAUGAAGGCUUUAGGGUUGUAAAACUCUUUCAGUAGGGAAGAUAAUGACGGUACCUACAGAAGAAGCACCGGCUAACUCCG
RNAcentral lists this ribosomal RNA (442 nucleotides) under uncultured Rickettsiales bacterium. RNAcentral's name for it is "bacterial SSU rRNA". It matches the Rfam family "Bacterial small subunit ribosomal RNA", at positions 29 to 505 of the family's 1533-position model. Lineage: Bacteria; Pseudomonadati; Pseudomonadota; Alphaproteobacteria; Rickettsiales. The record is from RNAcentral.